This is a non-coding RNA of Parelaphostrongylus tenuis, 71 nucleotides long. The record is from the annotation of a GenBank genome assembly. NCBI's taxonomy places the organism in Eukaryota, Metazoa, Nematoda, Chromadorea, Rhabditida, Metastrongylidae.
ACCUCUGUGGUGUAGUGCUAGCAUGCGUCCCCUGUAUGGAUGAAACCCGGGGUCGACUCCCGCCUGAGGUC